UACGUAGGUGACAAGCGUUGUCCGGAUUUACUGGGCGUAAAGAGCGCGCAGGCGGUCGUUCAAGUCGAGUGUGAAAGCCCCCGGCUCAACUGGGGAGGGUCACUCGAUACUGAUCGACUCGAAGGCAGGAGAGGGUAGUGGAAUUCCCGGUGUAGUGGUGAAAUUCGUAGAUAUUGGGAAGAACACCGGUGGCGAAGGCGGCUCACUGGCUCAUUACUGACGCUCAGGCGCGAUAGCGUGGGGAUCAAACAGG
This 253-nucleotide ribosomal RNA is filed under the name uncultured bacterium. RNAcentral describes it as "partial 16S ribosomal RNA". It matches the Rfam family "Bacterial small subunit ribosomal RNA", at positions 524 to 776 of the family's 1533-position model. The record is from RNAcentral.